AACUUUUCCUGGAUGAAGGCCCCUUCUUUAGGAGGAAUGUUCUACAGCCAGAGUCUCAAUGGCAGCUAGGGUGUUGUCCAUCUCCUCCUACAUGAGCUGGGGUGCAUGCUGCAUUUGGUAUCACAAGUGAUGGGAUUACAUAAUCUAUGCGCAACCACCAGGGAUGUGGUUUCUGAGGUUGCUGGAGACGGCUGGGACACACUUCUUGGGAUCUGCUUCCAGUGCUCAUUAUACUCUGAGUAUCAUAGUGUAGAUAUUGUCCUGGAAGGCAAAAAUGUAGAAGUAUUCAGUAUUCGUCUUUUCUUUUUUAAACCUUGUUGCUUUUGUGUUUUGGAAAUACUAUGUUAGAAGUUCUGUGAGUGUUGUUAGGCGUGUCUCAAAGCAAUUUUAUCUAUCACUAACCAGAGCUUUGGUGUUAUUAUGUCAGCAAGCUUUCAAAACAGACUUGGUACAUUUAAAUGUGUAGAUGUUCAGAAUUCGAAUGGAACAAGGGAAUUUUUUAGAAAGCAUAUCAAAUCAGAACAACCAAAACAAAAACCACGUAGUCAUCUUCUAUAUAUAAGCCAAUGGCUGGGUGAUUUGUAUAUUCAUGUUGUCUUUCAAUGGCUCAGCUCUUGGCUGCCUGAGCUGUAGGAAUGGCUGCAACUUCAUUUAGCCUCCAGCAAAGGGGCUUACAUACACGUUGCCAGUGUGUUUCAGAACUCACAAGACAGAAGAUCAGGUAUUACACUUCUGUCCUUGGCUCUGGCGGAGGAAUGUGACUUAAUUCUCUGAUAGGGCGUAAUCAAAGUUGCAAUGCCUUUCAGGCUGAAUAAACUGAACAGUGAAGAUGUAGGUUUACUGCGCUGUAGUUCUGCUUUCUGGCCCAGGUGACCCUUGCUAACCUGUGUGUUAGCGUUGCUGUGAAAUAUGGCAGCAGCUUGAACUCAGCUGUCCUCUAUAAUUGGAAUUUAUGGCCUUGGUCAGUAAUAAGGACAAAGAAAUGUGCAAUAUCAAUCACAGCAAGUUAUGAGUGCAUGAACGUGAGUUAGCUCAGGCAACUGGCUCUGGGGUUACAGGAGUAUUGGUAUGGGAGCAACAUUCAUCUGUACUUCACACCUGACCCUGAAGCAAUCUUAUGUCAUUACUGUGAUCACUUCUUUGUGAUGCAUCUUUUCACCCAGGGGAGAAAAAGCGUAAG
RNAcentral lists this long non-coding RNA (1180 nucleotides) under Gallus gallus (chicken). RNAcentral's name for it is "lncRNA (ENSGALG00010022003.1)". The record is from RNAcentral. Lineage: Eukaryota; Metazoa; Chordata; Aves; Galliformes; Phasianidae.